Molecule: ribosomal RNA, 533 nt
Filed under: uncultured bacterium
Lineage: Bacteria
Description: bacterial SSU rRNA
Rfam family: Bacterial small subunit ribosomal RNA
Source: RNAcentral
AAUAAUACCCCGGUAGUCCUGGCCUUAAACGAUGAUCACUAGGUGUAGGAGGCUUCAACCCCUUCUGCGCCGCCGCUAACGCAUUAAGUGAUCCGCCUGGGGAGUACGGCCGCAAGGUUAAAACUCAAAGGAAUUGACGGGGGCCCGCACAAGCAGUGGAGCAUGUGGUUUAAUUCGAUGCUACGCGAAAAACCUUACCAGGGUUUGACAUCCCAGUGUAAUCCCUUAGAAAUAGGGGACCCCUUCGGGCACUGGUGACAGGUGGUGCAUGGUUGUCGUCAGCUCGUGCCGUGAGGUGUUGGAUUAAGUUCCGCAACGAGCGCAACCCUCGUUGCUAGUUGCCAUCAUUAAGUUGGGCACUCUAGCGAGACUGCCAGCGUCAAGCUGGAGGAAGGUGGGGAUGACGUCAAAUCAUCAUGCCCCUUACAUCCUGGGCUACACACGUGCUACAAUGGCCGGUACAACAGGUUGCUACCUCGCGAGAGGAUGCGAAUCCCCAAAGCCGGUCUCAGUUCGGAUUGCAGGCUGCAACC